This 253-nucleotide ribosomal RNA is filed under the name uncultured bacterium. Its description in RNAcentral is "partial 16S ribosomal RNA". It matches the Rfam family "Bacterial small subunit ribosomal RNA", at positions 524 to 776 of the family's 1533-position model. The record is from RNAcentral.
UACAGAGGUCUCAAGCGUUGCUCGGAUUCAUCGGGCGUAAAGGGCGUGUAGGUGGCGCGCUAAGUCGGGUGUGAAAUUUCGGAGCUUAACUCCGAAACUGCAUUCGAUACUGGCGUGCUUGAGGACUGGAGAGGAGACUGGAAUUCAUGGCGUAGCAGUGAAAUGCGUAGAGAUCAGGAGGAAGACCAGUGGCGAAGGCGGGUCUCUGGACAGUUCCUGACGCUGAGACGCGAAGGCCAGGGGAGCAAACGGG